RNAcentral lists this unclassified non-coding RNA (187 nucleotides) under Glomeraceae sp. RNAcentral describes it as "partial contains 5.8S ribosomal RNA and internal transcribed spacer 2". The stretch from base 1 to 71 matches the Rfam family "5.8S ribosomal RNA", at positions 84 to 154 of the family's 154-position model. The record is from RNAcentral. Lineage: Eukaryota; Fungi; Glomeromycota; Glomeromycetes; Glomerales; Glomeraceae.
GUGAAUCAUCAAAUUUUUGAACGCAAAUUGCACUCCCUGGUAUUCCGGAAAGUAUGCCUGUUUGAGGGUCAGUUAAAUAAAAAAUGGUGUUGUUGCUAUUUUUAGUGGGGUGUGAUGCAUCGGAAUUGAGUCGUCUUUUACAUUUGGUUUAUGUGCAUUAAAAUUAUGUUUGCUUCUAUACCGUAUU